RNAcentral lists this transfer RNA (70 nucleotides) under Lachnospiraceae bacterium. Its description in RNAcentral is "tRNA-Ile". It matches the Rfam family "tRNA". From Rfam's summary of the family: Transfer RNA (tRNA) molecules are approximately 80 nucleotides in length. Their secondary structure includes four short double-helical elements and three loops (D, anti-codon, and T loops). The record is from RNAcentral. Lineage: Bacteria; Bacillati; Bacillota; Clostridia; Lachnospirales; Lachnospiraceae.
GAUGCUGUAGCCGCUGGAAAGGCAUAGGUUUCAUAGACUGAAGUUGAUGGUUCGAAUCCAUCCAGCAUCA